GGACAUACCUCUGGUGUACCAGUUGUCGUGCCAACGGCAUAGCUGGGUAGCUAUGUGUGGACGGGAUAAGUGCUGAAAGCAUCUAAGCAUGAAGCCCCCCUCAAGAUGAGAUUUCCCAACUUCGGUUAUAAGAUCCCUCAAAGAUGAUGAGGUUAAUAGGUUCGAGGUGGAAGCAUGGUGACAUGUGGAGCUGACGAAUACUAAUCGAUCGAAGACUUAAUCAA
This 224-nucleotide ribosomal RNA is filed under the name Staphylococcus aureus. Its description in RNAcentral is "partial 23S ribosomal RNA". It matches the Rfam family "Bacterial large subunit ribosomal RNA", at positions 2699 to 2925 of the family's 2925-position model. The record is from RNAcentral. Lineage: Bacteria; Bacillati; Bacillota; Bacilli; Caryophanales; Staphylococcaceae.